Molecule: ribosomal RNA, 253 nt
Filed under: uncultured bacterium
Lineage: Bacteria
Description: partial 16S ribosomal RNA
Rfam family: Bacterial small subunit ribosomal RNA
Source: RNAcentral
UACGAAGGGGGCUAGCGUUGCUCGGAAUCACUGGGCUUAAAGGGCGCGUAGGCGGGCGAAUUUGUCCGGGGUGAAAGCCCACGGCUUAACCGUGGAAGUGCCUCGGAAACGGUUCGCCUCGAGGGGGGUAGGGGCCUGCGGAACUUCCGGUGGAGCGGUGAAAUGCGUAGAUAUCGGAAGGAACGCCGGUGGCGAAAGCGGCGGGCUGGACCCCUUCUGACGCUGAGGCGCGAAAGCCAGGGGAGCAAACGGG